UCCCUGGCGGUCCAGUGGUUAGGACUCAGCACUGCCACUGCCGAGGGCCCAGCUUCAAUCCCUGGUCAGGGAA
Molecule: non-coding RNA, 73 nt
Organism: Balaenoptera ricei (Rice's whale)
Lineage: Eukaryota; Metazoa; Chordata; Mammalia; Artiodactyla; Balaenopteridae
Source: the annotation of a RefSeq genome assembly